UCAUGUUCUCCACCCUGAACGCGCCCGAUCUCGUCUGAUCUCGGAAGCUAAGCAGGGUCGGGCCUGGUUAGUACUUGGA
Molecule: ribosomal RNA, 79 nt
Filed under: Spermophilus dauricus (Daurian ground squirrel)
Lineage: Eukaryota; Metazoa; Chordata; Mammalia; Rodentia; Sciuridae
Source: RNAcentral